This is a long non-coding RNA of Oreochromis niloticus (Nile tilapia), 252 nucleotides long. RefSeq lists it as uncharacterized. The transcript has 2 exons. NCBI's taxonomy places the organism in Eukaryota, Metazoa, Chordata, Actinopteri, Cichliformes, Cichlidae. The record is from RefSeq and is a predicted model, not a curated record.
GUCAGCAUGCUUACCAAAGAGAAAUAAAAGUAGCAAGUCACAAACGGUAAUGGGAUGAGAUGGGUGUCACACCGGAAGAGAGGAAACCAGUGCCGCUGAGUAUAUGGGCAACCCUGAAGACUAAAGGAAGUGGCCCACAAAACCACGAUAGAGGGCUUUCAUCUCCUAAAAGAAAAGUAAUUGUCAAGUUAAUGUACUCCUCAAUCUUACUGUACACAGGGUGCCAUGUCAUCAUUACUACGAGCACAGAAA